GGAUUUUCCUCUCCUUUGAGAAGAGGACAGAACUGCCUUUCUGCCGAAUAAAUCCAUUUUUCUCCAUUUCUCCUCUACAGAGUGAAACUCAGCACUUGCCUGGAAAAGUUCUAUGGGAGCUCAUUUUGUUGCCUGUUUUCUAGCUAUGGGGAACCAGCACUGCCACCGUUAGAAUGGAUCUGGUUGUGAGCAUCAAUUCAGAACUUUUUUUCCUCACCCAGGUUUGGAAUCACUGUCAUCAUUUGACGGAGGGGAAAUUUCUCACUGUAAUAAAUCAGUACAUUUUCAUGGUAUCGCAUGGUUGCAAAUCUGAGGUGACAUCAGGGUUUCUUUAUAAACCUUUGAGAACAUUCCUGAAGAAACAAGAAACAGAUUUGACUCACCACUAGCUUUUCUAACUUCAAAUCAACCGAUUCCACCUUUGCUACUUAGCAUACUUUUACUUAUUUCUAAGAGAUCAUCUGUUGUUCAUUUCAAGAACUGUUCAAAAUCUUUUCUAAUCAAGUCAGGCCUUCAAUCCCAUAUCCAACAGCAGUAGUUUUAGAUGGUAACCCUACUUCCUAAAUAAACUAAAUUAAAUUAAUAAAAUGAAAUAAAAG
RNAcentral lists this long non-coding RNA (599 nucleotides) under Sus scrofa (pig). RNAcentral describes it as "lncRNA (ENSSSCG00025076756.1)". Lineage: Eukaryota; Metazoa; Chordata; Mammalia; Artiodactyla; Suidae. The record is from RNAcentral.